RNAcentral lists this ribosomal RNA (406 nucleotides) under uncultured bacterium. Its description in RNAcentral is "bacterial SSU rRNA". It matches the Rfam family "Bacterial small subunit ribosomal RNA", at positions 976 to 1380 of the family's 1533-position model. The record is from RNAcentral.
AGCCUUUGACAUGUCCCGUAUGGGCCCCAGAGAUGGGGUUCUUCAGUUCGGCUGGCGGGAACACAGGUGCUGCAUGGCUGUCGUCAGCUCGUGUCGUGAGAUGUUGGGUUAAGUCCCGCAACGAGCGCAACCCUCGGCCUUAGUUGCCAUCAUUUAGUUGGGCACUCUAAGGCGACUGCCGGUGAUAAGCCGGAGGAAGGUGGGGAUGACGUCAAGUCCUCAUGGCCCUUACAGGCUGGGCUACACACGUGCUACAAUGGCGGUGACAGAGGGAUGCAAUGGAGCAAUCCUGCGCAAAUCUCAAAAAGCCGUCUCAGUUCGGAUUGUGCUCUGCAACUCGAGCACAUGAAGUUGGAAUCGCUAGUAAUCGCAGAUCAGCACGCUGCGGUGAAUACGUUCCCGGGCC